This 372-nucleotide ribosomal RNA is filed under the name uncultured organism. RNAcentral describes it as "partial 16S ribosomal RNA". It matches the Rfam family "Bacterial small subunit ribosomal RNA", at positions 527 to 896 of the family's 1533-position model. The record is from RNAcentral.
GGAGGGCGCAAGCGUUGUUCGGAAUUACUGGGCGUAAAGAGCGUGUAGGCGGUCGGGUAAGUUGGAUAUGAAAUCCCCGGGCUCAACUCGGGAACUGCAUCCGAAACUGCUCGGCUAGAGUCCCGGAGAGGAAGGCAGAAUUCCCAGUGUAGGGGUGAAAUCCGUAGAUACUGGGAGGAAUACCAGAGGCGAAGGCGGCCUUCUGGACGGUGACUGACGCUGAGACGCGAAAGCGUGGGGAGCAAACAGGAUUAGAUACCCUGGUAGUCCACGCCGUAAACGGUGCGCACUAGGCGUCGGGGGAUUUACCCCCUCUCGGUGCCGCAGCUAACGCGCUAAGUGCGCCGCCUGGGGAGUACGGCCGCAAGGCUA